RNAcentral lists this ribosomal RNA (253 nucleotides) under uncultured microorganism. RNAcentral's name for it is "partial 16S ribosomal RNA". It matches the Rfam family "Bacterial small subunit ribosomal RNA", at positions 524 to 776 of the family's 1533-position model. The record is from RNAcentral.
UACGUAGGGUGCGAGCGUUAAUCGGAAUUACUGGGCGUAAAGCGUGCGCAGGCGGUUUGUUAAGCGAGAUGUAAAAGCCCCGGGCUCAACCUGGGAACGGCAUCCGGAACUGUCAAGCUAGAGUGCAGGAGAGGAAGGUAGAAUUCCCGGUGUAGCGGUGAAAUGCGUAGAGAUCGGGAGGAAUACCAGUGGCGAAGGCGGCCUUCUGGACUGACACUGACACUGAGGUGCGAAAGCGUGGGUAGCAAACAGG